RNAcentral lists this ribosomal RNA (500 nucleotides) under uncultured bacterium. RNAcentral describes it as "partial 16S ribosomal RNA". It matches the Rfam family "Bacterial small subunit ribosomal RNA", at positions 28 to 507 of the family's 1533-position model. The record is from RNAcentral.
GACGAACGCUGGCGGCGUGCUUAACACAUGCAAGUCGAACGGGUCUGCCCUGUUUUUUGCGGGGUGGGUCAGUGGCGAACGGGUGGGUAACACGUGAGUAACCUGCCCCUCACUUCUGGAUAACCGCUUGAAAGGGUGGCUAAUACGGGGUGUUCUGGCUGUGCCGCAUGGUGUGGCUGGGAAAGAUUCACUUUUGUGGUGUUUUGGUGGGGGAUGGGCUCGCGGCCUAUCAGCUUGUUGGUGGGGUGAUGGCCUGCCAAGGCUUUGACGGGUAGCCGGCCUGAGAGGGUGGGCGGUCACACUGGGACUGAGAUACGGCCCAGACUCCUGCGGGAGGCAGCAGUGGGGGGUAUUGCACAAUGGGCGGAAGCCUGAUGCAGCGACGUCGCGUGAGGGAUGGAGGCCUUCGGGUUGUGAACCUCUUUCGCCGGUGAAGAAGGUCCUGCUCUUUGUGGUGGGGUUGACGGUAGCCGGGUUAUGAAGCGCCGGCUAACUACGUG